CCAGUCAAGAUGAAAAACUUCUUCUAAUGGAAUCCAGCUUGAAAGCUACUCAAGAGCAGCUAACUGAGCAAAUAGCAGAAACAGUUCGCCAAGAACAGAACGGUAGAAAACCCCAGGCAGAGCUGAAGACAGUGACAGAAAGGAUUAUUGCCUCUGAAGAAGAAAAAAAUGAUUGCAAGUGGCAUGAAUUGAUUAAAUUUACCAAUUGAUUCAGUACUGGGCAGUGCCAGACCUCAUGGUGUGCAUCACUCAGAAGAAAGAAAAGGCACUUCAGGUGUCACAGACAUGACAGCCUUGUAGAAAAAAGUAUGGACAUGUCUGGCCAGGCUUGUGAUCUACAGAGAUGCAAAACUUUCUGGAAAAGGACUUCUCUCAAAUGCUAUUCGACCACAAACAGUAGGAAGGAACUAACUGCUCAUAACAGGUUUUGGAAAUAUCAUUAUGGAAACUAUUUGGUUUCCAUAGGUGUCUUCCUUAUGUCAUUCUCUCUUUGGAAAGCUUCUAAAUUCAUCAUCAUGUUCAUCACAUGAGUAGCAUUAUGUCUUGGGAUGUUCUGACAAAACAGACAAUUUUGGAGAAGGUGUGCUGGACACAGUUGUGGUUCUCAGCAAUUGGAUGCAUCUGCUUCCUAUUCGGAACGUGGUUCUACUUACAAUCUAAUUGUGCUACCCUACACUGCUCUAUUAUUUUCUGAGUCUGAGCCUACAUUUUAGGCCAAUCAUCGAAGAGGACAGGAAGACUUGGAAAUUGAAGGCUACACGUAGACAUACUCGUCUGGUUUCAUAUAUAUAUAUGUCUGUGGAGCUGCUCCAUAUUGUGUAAGCAUGCCGUCCUAUUCUUUAGGCUUGUCCUCACAAUUUCCUGGGAUAGGUCAGAAUUAUUGUCUCCAUAUGAGGUGUGAUAUGUGUCAUCUAAUGAUAAAUGGUUGAAUGAUUUAAGUACUUAUUUUGGCUUCAAACUGACUUCGCUCCUUUCACUGGGUCUCGGGCUAUAUAGUUAGGAUAUUUUGUCCAGAUGUAUAGAUGGAGACUUUAAAGAAAACAAAAAAAUCAUUCAGAUGCUACUAAGUUUAACUACUAAAAUAUCACUGUGAGUAGUGAUUAAAUGUGUAUCCACGGAGUACUAUAGUAAAUGAGAUAACAAUGUAAAGCAACUAUUACAUAUGUAAAAGCUAAAUUCAAGUUCGGAUCUCAUCUUUUCCACAUUGACUGAGUAUAUGUAAGUUUUGUUGUAAUGUCAUCCGAUUCCCUAGAAAACCAUCAAUUUAGUAACAUACACAUGUAUACAUGCCAUCAUCACCUGGAGUUAGGUGUACCUGAACUCUUGGAAGCGGCUGCAUAUUUAAGUUUGGUGCAUACAGCUGAAGUCUUUUGAGUUUCUUAUUCUUCUCUCUAGAGAUCAAAUUGUUAAUUAGGAACUUACCUAAUCACUUCUGCUUAGCAUAGGAAAACCUUACUGCAAAGGCUAGGACAAAAGAUGGAUCCUACCUCACAACCAAAUUAAUGCAUAUUCAUCUUAAGGUGUAAAGCAUAAAAUCCAAGAUUAUAAAAAUUUAAAAAAUAUAUUUUAAAUAUCUACUAGAAAAUACUCAAGUUCAAGAUAAACUUGUUGGCUUGUGGAUCAUAGAGAAACACAUAGAAUCUGAAAUGAAACAAGUUAUGGUUUUCUAUGUCCUGAAAUGCAGGGCCAAGAACAUGUUAUCAGGCUUAAUGUAAUUUGCAACAACAUUGGUUUUUGGAAGAACCAAAAACUUUAUGCAGUAAUGAUUAAUUAUAAAAAAAUUAGUUUUAAUUGGGAGGAAUAUUAAUGUAGAAGAAAAACAAAAUUCUAAGUUGAUAUCAACAGAAUAAUUUGUAUUAUCUUUUCUAUACAUCUUUGAAAUUACUGAUACAUUUGUAAGUCAGAGAUAGACCUAAUUCAGGGAAUCUUACAUUAAUUUCUGGGAUCAAAGAGUGUCUGAAGAUUAUGCAAGCAGAAUAUUAUGCCAAUAUCUUCUUCUAAUACAGGUGGCUAUCAAAUUGAAGAUUUGUUUUAUGUUGGUUUCUAUUUAUUUUAUUUUGCUUAUCAUUCCUAUAUAAAUGUAAAUAUACCAAAAUACAUUUAAAGUCCUA
This is a long non-coding RNA of Myotis brandtii (Brandt's bat), 2111 nucleotides long. RefSeq lists it as uncharacterized. The transcript has 6 exons. Lineage: Eukaryota; Metazoa; Chordata; Mammalia; Chiroptera; Vespertilionidae. The record is from RefSeq and is a predicted model, not a curated record.